This 454-nucleotide ribosomal RNA is filed under the name uncultured bacterium. RNAcentral's name for it is "partial 16S ribosomal RNA". It matches the Rfam family "Bacterial small subunit ribosomal RNA", at positions 28 to 507 of the family's 1533-position model. The record is from RNAcentral.
GAUGAACGCUGACAGAAUGCUUAACACAUGCAAGUCAACUUGAACUUCGGUUUGGGUGGCGGACGGGUGAGUAACGCGUAAAGAACUUGCCUCACAGCUAGGGACAACAUUUGGAAACGAAUGCUAAUACCUGAUAUUAUGGUUUUAGGGCAUCCUAGAAUUAUGAAAGCUAUAUGCGCUGUGAGAGAGCUUUGCGUCCCAUUAGCUAGUUGGAGAGGUAACGGCGCACCAAGGCGAUGAUGGGUAGCCGGCCUGAGAGGGUGAACGGCCACAAGGGGACUGGGACACCGCCCUUACUCAUACGGGAGGAAGCAGUGGGGAAUAGUGGACAAUGGACCAAGAGUCUGAUCCAGCAAUUCUGUGUGCACGAUGAAGUUUUUCGGAAUGUAAAGUGCUUUCAGUUGGGAAGAAAAAAAUGACGGUACCAAAAGAAGAAGUGACGGCUAAAUACGUG